Long non-coding RNA from Hibiscus syriacus, 141 nucleotides. RefSeq lists it as uncharacterized. The transcript is spliced from 3 exons. The record is from RefSeq and is a predicted model, not a curated record. Lineage: Eukaryota; Viridiplantae; Streptophyta; Magnoliopsida; Malvales; Malvaceae.
AUCCUGCAUUUUUAAACAAUGUACUUUGUUGACAGAAACUAUGCAAGAAUUUUGGCGAUAUCGAUAUAGCAGGACUAACACUCGGACUAAUAUAUUUAAACCCCAAAUUUCCAUGACUUAAUUCUUGUAUUGCUAAGGUGA